UGCCAGCCGCCGCGGUAACACGGGGGGCGCAAGCGUUAUUCGGAAUUAUUGGGCGUAAAGGGCGCGCAGGCGGUCUUGUCCGUCAGGUGUGAAAGCUCGGGGCUCAACCCCGGAAGUGCACUUGAAACAGCAAGACUUGAAUACGGUAGAGGAGAGAGGAAUUCCUGGUGUAGAGGUGAAAUACGUAGAUAUCUGGAAGAACACCAGAGGCGAAGGCGAUCUCUUGGCCCGUGACUGACGCUGAGGCUCGAAAGCGUGGGUAGCGAACAGGAUUAGAUA
RNAcentral lists this ribosomal RNA (279 nucleotides) under uncultured bacterium. RNAcentral's name for it is "partial 16S ribosomal RNA". It matches the Rfam family "Bacterial small subunit ribosomal RNA", at positions 506 to 784 of the family's 1533-position model. The record is from RNAcentral.